Molecule: long non-coding RNA, 350 nt
Organism: Xiphophorus maculatus (southern platyfish)
Lineage: Eukaryota; Metazoa; Chordata; Actinopteri; Cyprinodontiformes; Poeciliidae
Exons: 3
Source: RefSeq, a predicted model, not a curated record
CAAAGAGAGGCUCUGCCUCCGUGCGGCUGUCUGUUUGGGAAUCCUGAAUGUUUUACUUUUGGCUGAACUCAUCGCCCUCAGUGUACACACUCAUGACAUGACAGCAGAUUUUUCUGACAUCAGCAACAUUCUGACCGAGCAGAACAGCAGCAGCGAGUUUCCCUCCAGGAACGCUAACUUCACUGAAACGGCUCCACGAGCUGAAGACACUUUAAGGGAAAUUGUGUCCUACAGAACGAACAAACAUCAGUUGUUCCUGUUCAUCCAGGGGCUGCGGAAGAAGAGAAGAGCAGAUCCACUAGUGAUGGACGAUUAGGAUCUGUGUUCACUGUGAUAUUAUUCACCAACAA